GUCGUAACAAGGUUUCCGUAGGUGAACCUGCGGAAGGAUCAUUAUCGAGUUUUGAACGGGUUGUCUGCUGGCUCGCGAGAGCAUGUGCACGCCUGUCUCAUCCACUCUCAACUUCUGUGCACUUUUCAUAGGCCGGCUUGUGGGUGCGUUCGCGCACUUGUAGGUGUCGGGCUUAUGCUUUAYUACAAACGAUUCAGUUUUAGAAUGUCAUACUUUGCUAUAACGCAAUUUAUAUACAACUUUCAGCAACGGAUCUCUUGGCUCUCGCAUCGAUGAAGAACGCAGCGAAAUGCGAUAAGUAAUGUGAAUUGCAGAAUUCAGUGAAUCAUCGAAUCUUUGAACGCACCUUGCGCUCCUUGGUAUUCCGAGGAGCAUGCCUGUUUGAGUCUCAUGGAAUUCUCAACCUUCRGCUUCAUUGAYGAAGGCUUGGACUUGGAGGUYGUGCCGGCUCUCGUAGUCGGCUCCUCUGAAAUGCAUUAGUGCGAACGUUACCAGCCGCUUCAGCGUGAUAAUUAUCUGCGUUGCUGUGGAGGGUAUYCUAGUGUCCGCGCUUCUAACCGUCUUCGGACAAAUUUCUGAACUCUGAGCUCAAAUCAGGUAGGACUA
Molecule: ribosomal RNA, 606 nt
Filed under: Bjerkandera adusta
Lineage: Eukaryota; Fungi; Basidiomycota; Agaricomycetes; Polyporales; Phanerochaetaceae
Description: eukaryotic LSU rRNA
Rfam family: 5.8S ribosomal RNA (bases 238-391)
Source: RNAcentral